This is a long non-coding RNA of Helianthus annuus (common sunflower), 2209 nucleotides long. RefSeq lists it as uncharacterized. The record is from RefSeq and is a predicted model, not a curated record. NCBI's taxonomy places the organism in Eukaryota, Viridiplantae, Streptophyta, Magnoliopsida, Asterales, Asteraceae. The transcript is spliced from 12 exons.
CGAGCACCGGUUUUCAACCACGUAUCAAAAACCCGGGUUUAACUUCACUUUUCUCCCCCAUCUAGGGUUUUUGCGUUCUCCAUCUGCUCACACACAAUCUCAAUUCUCUGCGACCGUGGUAAGGAUUUCAUCUCUAUAUCUCUAAAAAUGUUGGAUUUCAUGUAAUCGCUUUGAUUCAAGGGUUUCUUGCCAAUCGAUCUAUUUCAUACUCCUACACAUAAAUGUCUUCUACAUCAAGAAGAAACGGAGUUUGAUUGAGUUGUCCGUGGUUGAGGCCUGAGGUAACCCUGUGUAAACUUUUUUUUAUUCCGCCUUUUUAUUUUACAUGUCUGCGUCUUUGUGGGAUAUUGGGGAAAAGGGUUGCUAACUUGCUAAGAAGUGAGGUGAGGGUUAAUCUCAAGAUGGGUGAGAUUGUGAGCUUCAUGAUUGAAGGUCGUUUGUAGUCUUGAAUCCAGUUUGUGUAAUGGCUUCUGGAUCUAUACUUAGUCAUAAUUAAUUAUUUUAAAUUAUUUAUUGUAACUUAAUUUGUUAGUCAUUAUCUCUAUUGUAACUUAAUCAGAUUCUAAUCUAUUCUACCGUUUUUCUCUUUUUGUAUUCGACUGGAACAUUGUUCUUUACGUGCUAACAAUCAUUGUCCUUUUAUUCAGAAUUUUAGCUGUAGACCUUCAUGAAAACAUCAGGAAAUAAUGCGGGAUGCGGGAGUUGAGUGAAGGUAACUAUUACCAAAAGUGAUGUUUAAUCUCCUUCACUUAUGUUUGGCAUCGGUUAAAAUCAUGUUAAUAUUAUAUUCAUUAUUGAUGCUCCACUAUUUUAAAUGGCUUUUUGUGACUAAAGAUGACAUAAAAGGUCCAUGUGGGGUAAUCUAUGUUUUAUAACACCUGAUUAAUAGUUUUCAUGGUUACGUGGAUGUUCAAAAGAUCCAAAGCAUUAACCGGUCCAACUUUCUUAAUUGAAGAUCCCAACAAAGGUGGUAUGAAAAAGCUGAGGACAUGUGGAGCUUGAACAAGUGGGGCUCCUAAGAAAGUUGCAACAAUUGAAGCACCUUCAUUCUGUUUAGAAAAGCUAAACAAGAUGACAUAUACCUUUGGUUUAUAAUCUUCAAUAGGAGAAGGCACUUAUUGUCAGGUUUUUCAUGGAAGGCACUUUGGUCAUUAAGAUGCUGGAUACGAGCUCCAUAUUAGAUUCUGAAUCGGAUUUUAGAGACAAGUUGGAGAAAAAGUAACAAAAGUUGUAAGCAAGAGAGAAAGCUGAUAAAGAAAAGGCUAAUGAAAUGACUGGUCUUUAGUUAUGUAAUAAUGUCUGGUUAAGUAAUCUGCAGUUUUGUUUUGUGUUUUAACAAAUCUGCACGAUUAGGGGAAUGAGGUGGAGGAAAAAAAAGAAGGUGAAAGGUACUUAGCAAAGAUAUGGACACCUGAGGGUUCAAAAGACGUUGCAGUUGGAUAACCCAUUGCAAUAACAGUUGAGGAUCCAGCUGAAGUUGAGGUGGUAUAGACACAUGUUGGUGGCAAUUUAGUAGCUAAGGAGGCAAACCCAGCUCCACAUGCUACCCAUGAUAAAGAAGUUAAAGGACAAAAGUUCAACUUUUCUAGAAUAAGUCCACCUGGAAGUUACUAAUUGCACAACAGAAAUUAGAUGCUUCAUCAGUAAUGAAGGACUCAACAUACAUGAACAUCUUGAGUCUUGGGGAAAAAAUUUGAAGGCUCACCUUGCUAAUAGCACUCUACAAAUGCUAAUGCUGGUGGUAAGGCUAAGCAUGUGUUGGGAUUCGGCUUGGAAAAGAUUGCCAGAUGUAGUUGAGGGGAAAGAUGAAGUCGCAGCGUUAAUGGAUGCCCUCAAAACUCAAAACGAUAAAUUUUUUAAAGGCUUAACACGUUCAGCACCUCAACUGGUGGAAAGCAUCAAGGAAAUUACAUACUGCUGGGUACACAAGUGGUCUAAGCUAAGCGAGAUGUCGUACCAAAACUGGAGCAGCUUCGAGGGGUUAAAUUUCAGGAGAUAAAGGCCUUUUAUUUUGGUCUUUGUAAUGUCCGGGUGAACACUCUUUGUUGUUUGGUUAUGUUGUUCCUGUUGUCUUAGCUCCUUGCUUAGGGCUGUUUGUUUUUAGGUUGUGUUGGUUUUAAUAAAGUCCCAUUUGGCAGUUAAAAAAAAGUAGUUCGCAACUCUUCUCUAUAUAUAUAAACCGUAACUAAAGGAUAUUCCAAGAAGGUAA